AAUCCAUGAUGUGGGCAUUUCCUCAACAACUCUCUGUAACGCUCCCAUACUUCAUAUAAUGACUCUCCAUCUACCUGCAUAAAAUUAGUGAUUACGCAUCCUUGCAGUUU
Small nucleolar RNA from Pistacia vera, 110 nucleotides. The record is from RefSeq and is a predicted model, not a curated record. Lineage: Eukaryota; Viridiplantae; Streptophyta; Magnoliopsida; Sapindales; Anacardiaceae.